Molecule: ribosomal RNA, 953 nt
Filed under: Peneroplis sp. 69 MH-2008
Lineage: Eukaryota; Foraminifera; Miliolida; Peneroplidae
Description: bacterial SSU rRNA
Rfam family: Eukaryotic small subunit ribosomal RNA
Source: RNAcentral
AAGGGCACCACAAGAACGCGUGGAGCAUGUGGCUUAAUUUGACUCAACGCGGGAAAUCUUACCAGGUCCGGACAUAUUGAGGAUUGACAGGCGAUAGUAAUAUUAUUAUAUAAUAUUGCAUAAAAAUGAUAGUCCUUUCAUGAUUAUAUGAUAGGUGGUGCAUGGCCGUUCUUAGUUCGUGGAGUGAUUUGUCUGCUUAAUUGCGUUUCAGAUAUAUAAUUAUAUAAUAUAUUAUAUAGUAAUAUAUAAUUUAAUAUUGUGCUGCCUUAUAUAUUAUUUAUAAGGAUUUUAAGUGAACAUAUUUUAUUAUACAUAUAUUAUUAUAUAUAUUUAUUAUAUAUUAAAAUGAAUGCAACGAACGUGACCGUAACCUUUUAUUGCUAUAAAUAAUAUAUAUUAUUUAUAUUAUAAUAGCAUAAAAUUAAAGGGACCGCUGUCUAAAUUUUAGUGUUAAAAUAGAGUAAGAUUACGGCAAUAACAGGUCUGUGAUGCCCUCAGAUGUUCUGGGCUGCACACGUGCUACAAUAAUUACAUUAAUAAGUAUCUAUUAUAAUACAUAAUAUGUUUACAUAUUAUAAUAAACCUAUUUCGAAAGUAAAUGGGUAAUCAUUUAAAAAUCGUGAUUAUUUCAUACAUAUGGUAUAUUAAUAUUGUAUAAUACUAUACAUUUUAUAGUACUAUUACAAAUACCAUUAAUUAAUUUAAGGUGGGGAUAGUGUAUUGUUAAUUAUUACACUUGGCCUUAACUAGGAAUGCCUUGUACUCUUCUUUGGUUUAACAUACCAAGAGGAAUACGUCCCUGCCCUUUGUACACACCGCCCGUCGCUCUUACCGAUGAAUUAUAUUAUAAAUCUAAGGGACAUACAUAUUCUGAAAUUGAAUAUAUUGAAACUUAUAUACAUAAUGUGAUUUAAAGGAAAGAGAAGUCGUAACAAGGCAUCGUAGGUGAACCU